UACGUAGGGACCAAGCGUUGUUCGGAUUUACUGGGCGUAAAGGGUGCGUAGGCGGCGUGUCAAGUCAGUUGUGAAAUCUUAAGGCUUAACCUUAAGCGGUCAACUGAUACUGUCAUGCUAGAGUGCAGAAGGGGCAAUCGGAAUUCUUGGUGUAGCGGUGAAAUGCGUAGAUAUCAAGAGGAACACCUGAGGUGAAGACGGGUUGCUGGGCUGACACUGACGCUGAGGCACGAAAGCUAGGGUAGCAAACAGG
RNAcentral lists this ribosomal RNA (253 nucleotides) under uncultured bacterium. Its description in RNAcentral is "partial 16S ribosomal RNA". It matches the Rfam family "Bacterial small subunit ribosomal RNA", at positions 524 to 776 of the family's 1533-position model. The record is from RNAcentral.